UGGGGAAUUUUGGACAAUGGGCGAAAGCCUGAUCCAGCAAUGCCGCGUGUGUGAAGAAGGCCUUCGGGUUGUAAAGCACUUUUGUCCGGAAAGAAAUCCUUGGCUCUAAUACAGUCGGGGGAUGACGGUACCGGAAGAAUAAGCACCGGCUAACUACGUGCCAGCAGCCGCGGUAAUACGUAGGGUGCAAGCGUUAAUCGGAAUUACUGGGCGUAAAGCGUGCGCAGGCGGUUUGCUAAGACCGAUGUGAAAUCCCCGGGCUCAACCUGGGAACUGCAUUGGUGACUGGCAGGCUAGAGUAUGGCAGAGGGGGUAGAAUUCCACGUGUAGCAGUGAAAUGCGUAGAGAUGUGGAGGAAUACCGAUGGCGAAGGCAGCCCCCUGGGCCAAUACUGACGCUCAUGCACGAAAGCGUGGGGAGCAAAACAGGAUUAGAUACCCUGGUAGUCCACGCCCUAAACGAUGCCAACUAGUUGUUGGGGAUUCAUUUCCUUAGUAACGUAGCUAACGCGUGAAGUUGACCGCCUGGGGAGUACGGUCGCAAGAUUAAAACUCAAAGGAAUUGACGGGGUCAUAGCUGUUUCCU
Molecule: ribosomal RNA, 585 nt
Filed under: uncultured bacterium
Lineage: Bacteria
Description: partial 16S ribosomal RNA
Rfam family: Bacterial small subunit ribosomal RNA
Source: RNAcentral